UAAAUCCGGGUCAAAAGGAUCUGC
This 24-nucleotide non-coding RNA is filed under the name Arabidopsis thaliana (thale cress). The record is from RNAcentral. Lineage: Eukaryota; Viridiplantae; Streptophyta; Magnoliopsida; Brassicales; Brassicaceae.